AAAGCUGAAACUUCCUCUGACUUAGACUGCGCAAGAUGUUUUGCCUCAAGGUUGUGUUUUUCAUCAUCUUAAACCACAUUUCCAUGUCUGCUGAGGAACACCAAGAUUCCUGCAAGUAUCGUGUCUUGGCGAGGAAGGCCACAGAAAUGGCCUGUUUCAAGACCAGGGAUGACAGCCACCCAGAUUGUGAAGCUGAAGGUGGGGUCAGCACAUUCUGUCACAUCGAAACCCGAAAUGACUGGAUCAUCAUUAAGUGGCUGGCAAGCAAAGACUUCACUUGCAGCAAUGAGACUUUCUCUGAAAGUCUGAGAGGAAAAGGACAUUGUGCCAUUGACCAGGAAGUUCCCGUGAUUUGUUUGCUGUCGCGUUCCUGCCU
Long non-coding RNA from Megalops cyprinoides (Indo-Pacific tarpon), 376 nucleotides. RefSeq lists it as uncharacterized. The transcript has 4 exons. NCBI's taxonomy places the organism in Eukaryota, Metazoa, Chordata, Actinopteri, Elopiformes, Megalopidae. The record is from RefSeq and is a predicted model, not a curated record.